GGGCUAUAGCCCAGGGGUAGAACAUCUGUGUUGCAUGCACAAGGUCCCAGGUUCAAACCCUGGCAUCUCCC
Molecule: non-coding RNA, 71 nt
Organism: Podarcis lilfordi (Lilford's wall lizard)
Lineage: Eukaryota; Metazoa; Chordata; Lepidosauria; Squamata; Lacertidae
Source: the annotation of a GenBank genome assembly